This 442-nucleotide ribosomal RNA is filed under the name uncultured bacterium. Its description in RNAcentral is "bacterial SSU rRNA". It matches the Rfam family "Bacterial small subunit ribosomal RNA", at positions 34 to 471 of the family's 1533-position model. The record is from RNAcentral.
GAAUUCACUAGUGAUUCAGGCCUAACACAUGCAAGUCGAACGGCAGCACGGAGCUUGCUCUGGUGGCGAGUGGCGAACGGGUGAGUAAUAUAUCGGAACGUACCCUGGAGUGGGGGAUAACGUAGCGAAAGUUACGCUAAUACCGCAUACGAUCUAAGGAUGAAAGUGGGGGAUCGCAAGACCUCAUGCUCGUGGAGCGGCCGAUAUCUGAUUAGCUAGUUGGUAGGGUAAAAGCCUACCAAGGCAUCGAUCAGUAGCUGGUCUGAGAGGACGACCAGCCACACUGGAACUGAGACACGGUCCAGACUCCUACGGGAGGCAGCAGUGGGGAAUUUUGGACAAUGGGCGCAAGCCUGAUCCAGCAAUGCCGCGUGAGUGAAGAAGGCCUUCGGGUUGUAAAGCUAAUGGUCAGGGAAGAAACGGUGAGAGCUAAUAUCUCUUG